GCUCAGAAAGUGGCAUAUUUUAUUUUUUAUACAUAAAAAAAUCUCCAACUUCGCGCACCAGGAAGAAUUCACAUUCCACCACUCAAUACUCGACAUAUGCACUAUCGUGGAGUACCCAGCACCAAGAAAUUUACUUUUCCCUUUUUUUUCUUGUACAAAUGUAGUUCUACAAAAACACAUAUCAAGCACAAGAAAUACCCUCCAAGCCAAUUCCAUUUUGGUCAUUUAGUUCAGGAGAAAUUAAUUUGUAUGAACUGGUAAUUCCUUUUUUUUUUUUUUCCAAAAAGAAAAAUUCAAGCAUCAGUAACCAGAUCUUCGUAAGUAUGCUAGUACACCUAACCCAGCAACCAGAGC
RNAcentral lists this unclassified non-coding RNA (354 nucleotides) under Hevea brasiliensis (rubber tree). The record is from RNAcentral. Lineage: Eukaryota; Viridiplantae; Streptophyta; Magnoliopsida; Malpighiales; Euphorbiaceae.